CAUACUUUAGGUCUCACACUCGAUUUUGUUUCCUAAAAGUUUUCUUUGUCUGAGACAUUCUGAUUCUGUGACCCAAGCCCAGAAGGGAAUGGACAGAGAGAACUCAAAACCAUCACUUUGUCAUCAAACAUGGAGAAACUGAAGGAUUCACAGAAGUAUGCACUGAGUGUAGGGCUCCCCUCCCCCCCUGCCAUGCUGUCCGGUGGGUACUGCAGAGUGGUAGGAAGGUAGGGGCUUGCUACAGCUGACUUGGGCAUGGCCCUUUUCAGACAUGCAGGAGGCAGCAUCACUUAUGAAAGCCUGGCCCAGGCUGGCCUUUGAGAAGCCAGCGUCACAGGCCCUGUCUGGGGCCCAGACUUCCUGCCAUCCCUCUGAGGCCUGGGCUCGUCAGCACACUCAGUCACUUUGUUCCAGGCCUGUGGGUGGCUUUGUCAGCAGUAUAACUGAAAUAGGCCAGCCCAUCCCUUCUUUGGUGGAUAUACGGUGUCAGGGCGGAUCUAACUCCUGUACUGCAAAUGUCAGGAAAUGGAAACAAGGCCUGCAACCCACUCAGUUUCUUCCUCUCCAGUAACUGGGGCCUUUGGUUUAUAGAAUGGCUCCUUUGUACCCCGACCCAGGCAAGACCUGGCAACUCGGAGUUAUUCCCAGUUGUUCAAGAUGAAAAGGACAGAGAGGCAGAUUUUAGAAAAAUGAGUCAGGCAACGAGGGGAAAUUCAAUUUCUGUGGCCUAAGAAACAUUGAAACAUGCUGUUCUUCCUCUUUAAACCAAACACAAUCAGGAAACAUUGCCUGCACCUCUCCCAUUUCCCAUCAUGAAAUGUCGAGACGGAAGUCUUUCAUCUCCAAGUGGUCACAAAACCUUCAUUGUACUGGGAUUUUCUGUGAACCUGUUUUGAGAGGACAGCAACCUGAGGACAGAGACUUGGUCUGGAGGACCCUGGAGUCCCCAGGGCCCAGUUGAGAGCAGUGCCAAUGAGACAUGACACUGGUUGGAGUAGAAGAUGGAAUCUGCAGAGUACCACCUUUCAUGGAAUCUUGGGGCUAAGACUAAAACCUAGCCUCCAAGAAGAGAUGUUCAACCUCUUGAAUUGUCAAAUAAAGGGAAUAGUUGGAAGGAAAAACUGCCUAUG
Cavia porcellus (domestic guinea pig) is the source of this 1130-nucleotide long non-coding RNA. RefSeq lists it as uncharacterized. The transcript has 3 exons. The record is from RefSeq and is a predicted model, not a curated record. NCBI's taxonomy places the organism in Eukaryota, Metazoa, Chordata, Mammalia, Rodentia, Caviidae.